This 253-nucleotide ribosomal RNA is filed under the name uncultured bacterium. RNAcentral's name for it is "partial 16S ribosomal RNA". It matches the Rfam family "Bacterial small subunit ribosomal RNA", at positions 524 to 776 of the family's 1533-position model. The record is from RNAcentral.
UACGUAGGGUGCGAGCGUUACUCGGAAUUACUGGGCGUAAAGCGUGCGCAGGCGGUUUUGUAAGCCAGAUGUGAAAUCCCCGGGCUUAACCUGGGAAUGGCAUUUGGGACUGCAAGGCUUGAGUGCGGCAGAGGAGACUGGAAUUCCCGGUGUAGCAGUGAAAUGCGUAGAUAUCGGGAGGAAUACCGAUGGCGAAGGCAGGUCUCUGGGCUGACACUGACGCUCAUGCACGAAAGCGUGGGGAUCAAACAGG